UACGAAGGGGGCUAGCGUUGUUCGGAAUCACUGGGCGUAAAGCGCACGUAGGCGGAUCUUUAAGUCAGGGGUGAAAUCCCGGGGCUCAACCCCGGAACUGCCUUUGAUACUGGCAUUCUCGAGUCCGGAAGAGGUGAGUGGAAUUCCGAGUGUAGAGGUGAAAUUCGUAGAUAUUCGGAGGAACACCAGUGGCGAAGGCGGCUCACUGGUCCGGUACUGACGCUGAGGUGCGAAAGCGUGGGGAGCAAACAGG
Molecule: ribosomal RNA, 253 nt
Filed under: uncultured bacterium
Lineage: Bacteria
Description: partial 16S ribosomal RNA
Rfam family: Bacterial small subunit ribosomal RNA
Source: RNAcentral